AUUGAACGCUGGCGGCAGGCCUAACACAUGCAAGUCGAACGGUAACAGGAAGAAGCUUGCUUCUUUGCUGACGAGUGGCGGACGGGUGAGUAAUGUCUGGGAAACUGCCUGAUGGAGGGGGAUAACUACUGGAAACGGUAGCUAAUACCGCAUAACGUCGCAAGACCAAAGAGGGGGACCUUCGGGCCUCUUGCCAUCGGGUGUGCCCAGAUGGGAUUAGCUAGUAGGUGGGGGAACGGCUCACCUAGGCGACGAUCCCUACCUGGUCUGAGAGGAUGACCAGCCACACUGGAACUGAGACACGGUCCCGACUCCUACGGGAGGCAACAGUGGGGAAUAUUGCACAAUGGGCGCAAGCCUGAUGCAGCCAUGCCGCGUGUAUGAAGAAGGCCUUCGGGUUGUAAAGUACUUUCAGCGGGGAGGAAGGGAGUAAAGUUAAUACCUUUACUCAUUGACGGUACCCGCAGAAGAAGCACCGGCUAACUCCGUG
Molecule: ribosomal RNA, 490 nt
Filed under: uncultured bacterium
Lineage: Bacteria
Description: partial 16S ribosomal RNA
Rfam family: Bacterial small subunit ribosomal RNA
Source: RNAcentral